Molecule: unclassified non-coding RNA, 361 nt
Filed under: Zea mays
Lineage: Eukaryota; Viridiplantae; Streptophyta; Magnoliopsida; Poales; Poaceae
Description: misc RNA Zm00001eb093030
Source: RNAcentral
GUGCUGCCAGAGCUGGUGUGAAGGCUGGGAUGGUACCCCCUGGGGAUUGUUCAAGCUUCCCUCAGUGGGGUUCUGGGGGUGCUCCUGUGGCAGACUGGUCUGCGACUGGUAGAAGCUUGGGUACCCAAGACCACCGUACUGAGAUGGAUGAUGUGCCUAGCGGAAGCCACCAUGCUGACUCUGGCCCUGGAAACCAUAGAAGUUACCAGGCGGAACUGCAGAAAUUGUUCUUGAACCAGCGCCUCCAUGAAGCCACAUUGCUGAAUUAUCACUCUGAUAUGGAAACAAAAAAACGUCAGAAUGAAAUGAACCUCCAAAACAAAAAUAGGAACACGAAAACCUCAUGCAACUAAAGAAGGCU